GGCAUACUCAGCUCGUAUGCGUAGAGCAACAAUCAGUUCUCUUAAACCUUUCAAAGCGAACGCACACGCGUUCCGUCACCGAAUAAACACAGUUUCUUCUCACCGAUAGCAAAAAAAACUUCCGCUGAGGUUCGGUAACGAAAAAAGCAAGAGCGUACAGUGUCAAGCAAAACAUCAUCAAACAGAUAUAGAGGUCGACCAAAAGUUACCCCCUUUCCAUCGA
Molecule: long non-coding RNA, 223 nt
Organism: Anopheles stephensi (Asian malaria mosquito)
Lineage: Eukaryota; Metazoa; Arthropoda; Insecta; Diptera; Culicidae
Exons: 2
Source: RefSeq, a predicted model, not a curated record